Molecule: ribosomal RNA, 386 nt
Filed under: uncultured bacterium
Lineage: Bacteria
Description: bacterial SSU rRNA
Rfam family: Bacterial small subunit ribosomal RNA
Source: RNAcentral
GACGAACGCUGGCGGCGUGCUUAACACAUGCAAGUCGAACGGUGAACCAGAGCUUGCUCUGGGGAUCAGUGGCGAACGGGUGAGUAACACGUGGGCAACCUGCCCCAGACUCUGGGAUAACCUCGGGAAACCGAUGCUAAUACCGGAUACGACCACUUCGGACAUCCGACGGUGGUGGAAAGUUUUUCGGUCUGGGAUGGGCCCGCGGCCUAUCAGCUAGUUGGUGGGGUAAUGGCCUACCAAGGCGACGACGGGUAGCCGGCCUGAGAGGGCGACCGGCCACACUGGAACUGAGACACGGUCCAGACUCCUACGGGAGGCAGCAGUGGGGAAUAUUGCACAAUGGGCGAAAGCCUGAUGCAGCGACGCCGCGUGAGGGACGACGG